UAGAGUUUGAUCCUGGCUCAGGACGAACGCUGGCGGCGUGCUUAACACAUGCAAGUCGAGCGGAAAGGCCCUUCGGGGUACUCGAGCGGCGAACGGGUGAGUAACACGUGAGUAACCUGCCCCUGACUCUGGGAUAAGCCCGGGAAACUGGGUCUAAUACCGGAUACGACACCUCCUGGCAUCGGGUGGGUGUGGAAAGUUUUUCGGUUGGGGAUGGACUCGCGGCCUAUCAGCUUGUUGGUGGGGUAAUGGCCUACCAAGGCGACGACGGGUAGCCGGCCUGAGAGGGCGACCGGCCACACUGGGACUGAGACACGGCCCAGACUCCUACGGGAGGCAGCAGUGGGGAAUAUUGCGCAAUGGGCGAAAGCCUGACGCAGCGACGCCGCGUGGGGGAUGACGGCCUUCGGGUUGUAAACCUCUUUCAGCAGGGACGAAGUUGACGUGUACCUGCAGAAGAAGCGCCGGCUAACUACGUGCCAGCAGCCGCGGUAAUACGUAGGGCGCAAGCGUUGUCCGGAAUUAUUGGGCGUAAAGAGCUCGUAGGUGGCUGGUCGCGUCUGCCGUGAAAGCCCGCAGCUUAACUGCGGGUCUGCGGUGGAUACGGGCCGGCUAGAGGUAGGUAGGGGCAAGUGGAAUUCCUGGUGUAGCGGUG
RNAcentral lists this ribosomal RNA (655 nucleotides) under uncultured Nonomuraea sp. Its description in RNAcentral is "bacterial SSU rRNA". It matches the Rfam family "Bacterial small subunit ribosomal RNA", at positions 1 to 683 of the family's 1533-position model. The record is from RNAcentral. Lineage: Bacteria; Bacillati; Actinomycetota; Actinomycetes; Streptosporangiales; Streptosporangiaceae.